Molecule: ribosomal RNA, 465 nt
Filed under: uncultured bacterium
Lineage: Bacteria
Description: partial 16S ribosomal RNA
Rfam family: Bacterial small subunit ribosomal RNA
Source: RNAcentral
CUACGGGUGGCUGCAGUGAGGAAUAUUGCGCAAUGGGGGAAACCCUGACGCAGCGACGCCGCGUGGAUGAUGAAGGCCUUCGGGUCGUAAAAUCCUGUCAGAAGGAAAGAAGUGUAUGGUAGCUAAUAUCUGCCAUACUUGACGGUACCUUCAAAGGAAGCACCGGCUAACUCCGUGCCAGCAGCCGCGGUAAUACGGAGGGUGCAAGCGUUGUUCGGAAUUCCUGGGCGUAAAGCGCGCGUAGGCGGUUUUAUAAGUCAGAUGUGAAAGUCCACGGCUCAACCAUGGAAGUGCAAUUGAAACUGUAAGACUUGAGUAUUGGAGGGGGUAGUGGAAUUCCCGGUGUAGAGGUGAAAUUCGUAGAUAUCGGGAGGAAUACCGGUGGCGAAGGCGACUAUCUGGCCAAAUACUGACGCUGAGGUGCGAAAGCGUGGGGAGCAAACAGGAUUAGAUACCCUCGUAGUC